GACUUCAUGAAGCUGGAAUUGCUGUAAUGGCAGGUCAGCAUACUGCCGUGAAUACGUUCCCGGGCCCUUGUACACACCGCCCGUCACACCAUGAGAGUUGGGAAUACCCGAAGCCUGUGAGCUAACUUUUAGAGGCAGCAGUCGAAGGUAGAAUCAAUGAUUGGGGUGAAGUCGUAACAAGGUACC
Molecule: ribosomal RNA, 186 nt
Filed under: uncultured bacterium
Lineage: Bacteria
Description: partial 16S ribosomal RNA
Rfam family: Bacterial small subunit ribosomal RNA
Source: RNAcentral